GGCCCGUUGGUCAAGCGGUUAAGACACCGCCCUUUCACGGCGGUAACACGGGGUUCGAGUCCCGUACGGGUCA
This 73-nucleotide transfer RNA is filed under the name Enterococcus faecalis. RNAcentral's name for it is "tRNA-Glu". It matches the Rfam family "tRNA". From Rfam's summary of the family: Transfer RNA (tRNA) molecules are approximately 80 nucleotides in length. Their secondary structure includes four short double-helical elements and three loops (D, anti-codon, and T loops). Further hydrogen bonds mediate the characteristic L-shaped molecular structure. tRNAs have two regions of fundamental functional importance: the anti-codon, which is responsible for specific mRNA codon recognition, and the 3' end, to which the tRNAs corresponding amino acid is attached (by aminoacyl-tRNA synthetases). tRNAs cope with the degeneracy of the genetic code in two manners: having more than one tRNA (with a specific anti-codon) for a particular amino acid; and 'wobble' base-pairing, i.e. permitting non-standard base-pairing at the 3rd anti-codon position. The record is from RNAcentral. Lineage: Bacteria; Bacillati; Bacillota; Bacilli; Lactobacillales; Enterococcaceae.